UGAGUCGGCCAUACGGUCGCGCGUAUUUUCAGUACGUGAGGAAAGUCCGAGCUUCACAGGGCGGGAUAACAGCUAACGGCUGCCGGGGGUGACCCCAGGGAGAGUGCAACAGAGAUAUACCGCCGCUUUACGCGGUAAGGGUGGAAAGGCGAGGUAAGAGCUCACCGCGCCCGCGGGUAACCGCGGGGGCCUGUAAACCCUAUCCGAAGCAACGCUGACUGUGGCUAUACGCUUGCCCGGCGUGCCACGAAAGGCGGCUUGAGCGCACAGGUGACUGUGCCCCCAGAUAGAUGACCGUACACGACAGAACUCGGCUUACGGCCGGCUCAUGAU
Molecule: RNase P RNA, 333 nt
Filed under: Clostridia bacterium
Lineage: Bacteria; Bacillati; Bacillota; Clostridia
Description: RNase P RNA component class A
Rfam family: Bacterial RNase P class A
About the family: Ribonuclease P (RNase P) is a ubiquitous endoribonuclease, found in archaea, bacteria and eukarya as well as chloroplasts and mitochondria.
Source: RNAcentral